CCUACGGAGGGCAGCAGUGAGGAAUAUUGGUCAAUGGCCGGAAGUCUGAACCAGCCAAGCCGCGUGAAGGACGAAGGUGCCAAGCAUUGUAAACUUCUUUUGUCAAGGGACAAAAUCAGGCUCGAGAGCCUGACCGAGGGUACUUGAAGAAAAAGCAUCGGCUAACUCCGUGCCAGCAGCCGCGGUAAGACGGAGGAUGCGAGCGUUAUCCGGCUUUUUUGGGUUUAAAGGGUGCGUAGGCGGACUGUUAAGUCAGCGGUAAAAGCCCGGGGCUCAACCCCGGCGAGCCGUUGAAACUGGUUGUCUUGAGAUGUCGAGAGGUAUGCGGAAUGCGCAGUGUAGCGGUGAAAUGCUUAGAUAUUGCGCAGAACUCCGAUUGCGAAGGCAGCAUACCGGCGGCGAUCUGACGCUGAGGCACGAAAGCGUGGGUAUCGAACAGGAUUAGAUACCCCGGUAGUC
RNAcentral lists this ribosomal RNA (459 nucleotides) under uncultured bacterium. Its description in RNAcentral is "partial 16S ribosomal RNA". It matches the Rfam family "Bacterial small subunit ribosomal RNA", at positions 338 to 795 of the family's 1533-position model. The record is from RNAcentral.